AUUGUAAUGGCAGAUUAGUGCAAAGAAUUUAAGCUUCUUAGAUGAACCGCUCGUUCUUAUAAUA
RNAcentral lists this transfer RNA (64 nucleotides) under Antrokoreana gracilipes. RNAcentral describes it as "tRNA-Leu". Lineage: Eukaryota; Metazoa; Arthropoda; Diplopoda; Julida; Nemasomatidae. The record is from RNAcentral.